AGCAUAUCAAUAAGCGGAGGAAAAGAAACUAACAAGGAUUCCCCUAGUAACUGCGAGUGAAGCGGGAAAAGCUCAAAUUUAAAAUCUGGUGGUCUUUGGCCAUCCGAGUUGUAGUCUGGAGAAGUGCUUUCCGCGUUGGACCGUGUACAAGUCUCUUGGAACAGAGCGUCAUAGAGGGUGAGAAUCCCGUCUUUGACACGGACUACCAAUGCUUUGUGAUGCGCUCUCAAAGAGUCGAGUUGUUUGGGAAUGCAGCUCAAAAUGGGUGGUAAAUUCCAUCUAAAGCUAAAUAUUGGCGAGAGACCGAUAGCGAACAAGUACCGUGAGGGAAAGAUGAAAAGCACUUUGGAAAGAGAGUUAAACAGUACGUGAAAUUGCUGAAAGGGAAACGCUUGAAGUCAGUCGCGUUGGCCGGAACUCAGCCUUGCUUUUGCUAGGUGCACUUUCUGGUUGACGGGCCAGCAUCAAUUUUGAUUGUUGGAUAAAGGUUGGGGGAAUGUGGCACCUUCGGGUGUGUUAUAGCCCUCAGUCACAUACAACAGUUGGGAUUGAGGAUCUCAGCACGCCUUUAUGGCCGGGGUUCGCCCACGUUCGUGCUUAGGAUGCUGGCAUAAUGGCUUUAAACGACCCGUCUUGAAACACGGACCAAGGAGUCUAACAUGCCUGCGAGUGUUUGGGUGGAAAACCCGAGCGCGUAAUGAAAGUGAAAGUUGGGAUCUCUGUCAUGGAGAGCACYGACGCCCGGACCUGACCUUCUGUGACGGCUCCGCGGUAGAGCAUGUAUGUUGGGACCCGAAAGAUGGUGAACUAUGCCUGAAUAGGGUGAAGCCAGAGGAAACUCUGGUGGAGGCUCGUAGCGAUUCUGACGUGCAAAUCGAUCGUCAAAUUUGGGUAUAGGGGCGAAAGACUAAUCGAACCAUCUAGUAGCUGG
Molecule: ribosomal RNA, 931 nt
Filed under: Amyloporia xantha
Lineage: Eukaryota; Fungi; Basidiomycota; Agaricomycetes; Polyporales; Adustoporiaceae
Description: LSU rRNA
Rfam family: Eukaryotic large subunit ribosomal RNA
Source: RNAcentral